UACGGGGGGGGCAAGCGUUGUUCGGAAUUACUGGGCGUAAAGGGCUCGUAGGCGGCCAACUAAGUCAGACGUGAAAUCCCUCGGCUUAACCGGGGAACUGCGUCUGAUACUGGAUGGCUAGAGGUUGGGAGAGGGAUGCGGAAUUCCAGGUGUAGCGGUGAAAUGCGUAGAUAUCUGGAGGAACACCGGUGGCGAAGGCGGCAUCCUGGACCAAUUCUGACGCUGAGGAGCGAAAGCGUGGGGAGCGAACAGG
Molecule: ribosomal RNA, 253 nt
Filed under: uncultured bacterium
Lineage: Bacteria
Description: partial 16S ribosomal RNA
Rfam family: Bacterial small subunit ribosomal RNA
Source: RNAcentral